UCGAUUGAGUUUGAUCAUGGCUCAGGAUGAACGCUAGCGGCAGGCUUAAUACAUGCAAGUCGAGGGGCAGCACAGGUAGCAAUACUGGGUGGCGACCGGCAAACGGGUGCGGAACACGUACGCAACCUUCCUUUAACUGGAGAAUAGCCCCUCGAAAGAGGGAUUAAUACUCCGUAACAUGUUGAUAAGGCAUCUUAUUAAUAUUAUAGCCUUCGGGCGGUUAAAGAUGGGCGUGCGCCUGAUUAGAUAGUUGGCGGGGUAACGGCCCACCAAGUCUGCGAUCAGUAACUGGUGUGAGAGCACGACCAGUCACGCGGGCACUGAGACACGGGCCCGACUCCUACGGGAGGCAGCAGUAAGGAAUAUUGGUCAAUGGACGCAAGUCUGAACCAGCCAUGCCGCGUGGAGGAUUAAGGCCCUCUGGGUUGUAAACUCCUUUUAUCUGGGAAGAAAUGCAUUUUUUCUAAAGUGCUUGACGGUACCAGAGGAAUAAGCACCGGCUAACUCCGUGCCAGCAGCCGCGGUAAUACGGAGGGUGCAAGCGUUAUCCGGAUUCACUGGGUUUAAAGGGUGCGUAGGCGGGCAGGUAAGUCCGUGGUGAAAUCUCUGAGCUUAACUCAGAAACUGCCAUGGAUACUAUUUGUCUUGAAUACUGUGGAGGUAAGCGGAAUAUG
RNAcentral lists this ribosomal RNA (674 nucleotides) under uncultured bacterium. RNAcentral's name for it is "bacterial SSU rRNA". It matches the Rfam family "Bacterial small subunit ribosomal RNA", at positions 1 to 670 of the family's 1533-position model. The record is from RNAcentral.